Small nuclear RNA from Cavia aperea (Brazilian guinea pig), 107 nucleotides. The record is from Ensembl. Lineage: Eukaryota; Metazoa; Chordata; Mammalia; Rodentia; Caviidae.
GCACUUUCGUCGGCAGCACAUAUACUAAAAUUUGAACAAUACAGAGAAGAUUACCAUGGCCCCUGCGCAAAGAUGACACGCAAAUUCUUGAAGCAUUCCAUAUUUUU